UUCGUUGGGAAGGCACAGGCACAUCGUCUCCUCCCACUAGCUAGUCAUCCUCGCUGGUGCUUGCACUCAGGGAGGCCGCUGCUCCCUCUCUUCCAUUGAGGAUCAUGCAUGAAGACAUCGAUGCUCAUGUUAACAAUCGUCCUCCUAGUGCUCUUGUCAGGUUAUUCAUAUAUGUUCGCGAUGGCUCCGUAUGUGGUCUAUCUUGCAGAGGCCGGAGGACAGAGACCUUUUAUGAUGGCUUCUACUCGGCUGGAGUGUUCGGCCAGGGAGAUUUUUUACCCCCAUGGAUGGCGGUGUGAUCUUUGGUUAGGAUCGGCCUCUAUAGGAAUUUUUAUUUUUCUCUUGUUCUGGCUGUUUUGCCACUUUAUUUCUGUUUAUAGUAUUUCAAACUUUUGGCUGUGUGCAUCUAGCUAUGCAGAGGCCGGGUGAUCUUUGAUGUGGUUGUAUCAACUCGAUAUUUUAAUUCAAUGAAAAGCCCUUUAUC
Molecule: long non-coding RNA, 484 nt
Organism: Triticum dicoccoides
Lineage: Eukaryota; Viridiplantae; Streptophyta; Magnoliopsida; Poales; Poaceae
Exons: 2
Source: RefSeq, a predicted model, not a curated record